CCUUUCAGCCCAGGGAAGGCGAGGAGGCGAUCCGAAGGAGCAGCGCCCUCCUCUCGCCUCGCUUCUACUUUCCUCAGCAGGCAGCGGAGGGAGGGAGCGUCGUUCUCUGUAGUGUGUCGUACCGCAGCGCACGCUCUCCGCCUCGCCCCCCCUUAUCAUCGGGCGGGCGGCUGACUCAGUGCUGUGGUGGUGGGUGGAGGGAACGGGCAUGCGAGAGCUCCGGGAGACCGUGGCUGCCGCUAAAGAACAGCAGCGCGCUGCAUCAGCCUCGGCCGGGCCGCUGGGAGUCGCCGUGCUCGUUUGUGUGCCCAGUUCCCACCGCUUCCACAUGGCACAAGAGCAUUUCGGAAGAUUUACUGCAUGAGUAUCAAGGUUUAUGAGUAAAAAUCGUUUGCAGACAUUGGCACCUUCGCUUAGACUGGGCUAAACACGACCAGACUUCUGUAAUAUCAAAAUUUAAAUACGGCAUAAUCCCUAAGGAAAAAAAUACUUGUAAAAAAGAAAUUACUGUACCGUAUUGCGGUUUAUACACAGACAGUCAUGAAAAAUGAUGAGAUUCUGCUGUGAGAUAGACUGGGGAUCACACUGGUAGUAAUUUGCUUUCCAACACCUCUGAAGUUAAGUGCAGGGUGUUUCUUAAGAGUGUAGAGAUAAUUAGAGGAGAUGGCAUUUUGUAUGUUGGAAAUCACAUGGAAAUGAAAAAAGCAACUGUUAAAAUGACAAGCAUAGUGGUAAGACUCAAAAACAUGCACCAGAGUUCAAAUGUCUUACUAAAAUAAGCUCGAGUGGAUGUGCACAAAGUAAAGAAAAAGGGAUAUGCAAGUGAUUUAAAUCUAUUAAAGCAGAUGUAUAACAUAUUUCUUGUGUUUCAUUAGUAUUUUAUAAUUUUCUGUGUGAAAAACCUACACUCUCUCAAUCUUUUUCCUCAUCUGAUCCUACAGUAUAGCCUCACCAUCCUUAUUUUUAAUCACAUUAAUUUCUGUAGUAAUAGAGGAUGAUCUCACUGGAGGGAGGUGAAGUAAAAAGUUUCUCAUGGACCAUCUAUAGAAAAGACCAGAAAAAGUACUGGCUUAAAACCUUCAUUUUUAUUUGACAUUUAUUCUGCAGAAGGACUCACCUGCUGAGAGAUUCUCUUUAUAGACAAUCAUCAUUAAAAACAUUUUGGGCUGUUUUGGUUUGCCCUAGUUGGUGGGAAGAGUCUUUUGUUCAUUCUUGAGUAGAAGGUUUGUGGAGAGCUUUCUGAAAUGUGGCAUGUCCCAGGUCUUUAUGGGAUCUCUAUUAAUGUAUUCCUGUUAAAGAGGAUUUUUUUUCAAUCAUUUGUACAUUUUUCUACAAUGAAGUAUUGAUUUUUUCAUACUGCUAGUCUUUUUGAUAUCAUAGACUGCACAUUUUUCUUCAAUGAUGCUGUAAAAUGCAUAUCUCCUUGAGAGCGGGAAUGCAUUUUUGUCACUUGAAAGAGCAGUUGUUUACUUGACUGAAAAGCUGUGUACAGUGCAGUUAAAACAGGCAGUGGUACAGGAUGGCACAGUAGCAAUUCAGUAGCAAUUUGGAGUUCAGCAUUUCUAAUGAAUUGCUAAACAUGUUAUAUACAUUAUAUAUAUGUAUAUACAUUUCAUUAUAAAUCUUCAAUUAGAAGCCAGAAAAUGAAAGUUAUGUUUGAACUUCUACUAUGAAAUGACUGCAGUUACAAAAUGAUCAAUUAUUUAUGAAUAUGCCUUUAAUGAUUAAAUGAUUACUGAAGCUCGUAUAAAGCUUGCUCUGUUAAUGAGUUUCAGCUAAAAAUAAGUAAAUGAAUGAAUGAAGUAUCACUGGAUCUGCCUUUGAAUAUUUUUUUUUCUUUACUGUUGUUGUUUUAUAUAGUAGGUUAAUAUAGAUCCCUUGCCAUAUGUAAUUGAACUUACUGAUUUACUGUCUCCCUUUUCUCUGGAAAUCUCUCUGUAAAACUGUUUAGCUCAAUUAAGGCAUUCCAUGGGUGGACUCUUACUCAGUCCUUUUCAGAGUGAUUGUCACCUAAGAAAUUAUUUCUAGGAUGAAUCUGUAAAUCAGUUAAAUUGAAUACUUUGAACAAUGUCAACUCCCACAAUAAUAUGUGUACAGUUUUAAAAGAUUUUGUCACUCUAACAAAUUGUACAAGAGAAAAAAUAUAUUUACCUCUGCAAUGUUUUCUCUUUCUGCAGUUCUUAAUAUCUGUUUUUUUGGUCCCACACUUUAGCAUUUCUAAUUUGAAUCUUUUGUUUCAUGAUUAUUGCACUUUCUGAUUAGGAAUGUAGUAGUGUUGGCAUAAAUAUAGGAUCAUAGUGUAACUUAAUUCCUGAUGUCAAUCUGUAUUUUCUCUUCUGUGUCCUCCCUAUUCUUCUCUCUCUCUCUCUCUCUCUCUCUCUCCCUCUCUCUCACCCCUGCGACCCUCCCUUUGUGGAAAGAAUAACUUCACGUAUUAAUUUAACUGGUAGAUUGGUUUACUGAUGAAGACUCAUUUAUUUAAGAGCAUUUUAAGAAAUUCUGACAACCUCAUCAAAUUGUUUCUGUCAUUUCCAUUUGUGUCCUUCCUUUCCAGUAGUUUCCAUCUCCUCAGUUCAGGUACCAUCACUCAGCAAUUCAUUUGACACAACUGAACAUACUUUACUUUUUCUUUUUCCUCCCCAGCUGUACUAGAUCAAAGCUGUAGUAGAUCAAAGUUCAAACUUACCAAGAAACUAACCAAUGAAACAGUUUAUUCCGUUGCCACUUUUUCACUUCUCUUCCACAAUGUAAAGGUAGCUCUUGGCAGUUUAAGGAGUUGAAAGUAUCCAAGUCUAUUUGAAACCAUAUUGCUUCUGAAAAUAUUUUGGCCUGAAUAUUGUUUCUAAUAUGAUUUCCUGUUCUAAGUAAGUAGCAGCGCUUUCUUCUAUGUGUUAUAAUUGAAAAUAUUACUUGUAAUUAUUUCUAUGGUUUUAAGCAACUUAAAUUGUGCAAGAUGGUUUGGUUACGGGAAUAAACUACUCCUCUUUAUUGAUGUACAUA
Molecule: non-coding RNA, 3000 nt
Organism: Agelaius phoeniceus (red-winged blackbird)
Lineage: Eukaryota; Metazoa; Chordata; Aves; Passeriformes; Icteridae
Source: RefSeq, a predicted model, not a curated record